This 2333-nucleotide long non-coding RNA is filed under the name Equus asinus (donkey). Its description in RNAcentral is "lncRNA (ENSEASG00005033338.1)". Lineage: Eukaryota; Metazoa; Chordata; Mammalia; Perissodactyla; Equidae. The record is from RNAcentral.
AUUUAUUCAUCCCUGGUAGCGGUUCCAGGAAAGCGGUUCCACGAGAAAAAGGAACCCCUUUCUAAUAGAGCCAGCUGACCAAGGCAUUAGGAGGGCAAGGACUUUGGACGCCUCUCUCCAGCAAGCUGGAGCCAGAGCCAGAGUUAACUGGCCCCCUGAGCCCCCUGUAAGGGGCAGUGGCCAGGCUUGGAGUUGGCGAGGGUGCCCUGGCUAGAAAAUGGAGAUGUAAAGUGUGCCCUUUUCCUGUGGCUCUGAAAGAGGGACCAGAAUCAAGGGGCUCUGGGGCCGUCCAAGAGCAAAGAUGGUCCCACACUGGAUUAGAGAAUUCCCAGAGCAAUCCUACCCUCUUCCCCGCCCCCACUGCUCUUGUCCCGCAGCAGAGGACCCUGCCAAGGUGAUGAGAACCUCCUUGUUAGAGGUCUUGGGAUAUGAACACCCUCCUCUCACCAGCAUGCUGGAAAGGAGACUCACAGGUUCUGAGCACUGUGUGUCAGGCCCUUCGCAUGUGUGACUACUUCAUCUGUCAUCCUGUGAGGUUAAAUGAGGUCAUAAGAGUGGGGCUCUAAUCCCAUAAGACUGGUGUCCUUAUAACUAGAGGAAGAGACGCCAGGAUGUACAUGCACCGAUAAAAUGCCAUGUGAAGACAGAGUGAGAAGGCGGCCGUCUGCAAGCCAAGAAGAGAGGGCUCACCAGAAACCAGACCUGCCAACCUUGAUGUUUGACUUCCAGCCUCUAGAACUGUGAAAAUAUAAAUUUCUGUUUAAGCCACCCCAUUUGUGGUAUUUUGUUCUGGCAGCCCUAGCUGACUAAUACAGAGGCUGCAUGGGGAGCCUGGACCUCUAACCCCUGCCUUGCCAUAAUGAGGCAGCACCUCCUCUCCUCUGCUGGACUGGCGUCAGAGGAAGCCAGCUAAAACAAAAGUUUUAAAUAAGAUCUAGAGUCUCAUAAGAUAAUACCUAAAAUGCCCAGGUUUCAAUAGAAAAUCACUUGUCAUUCCAGAGCAAGGAAGAUCUCACACUGAAUGAAAAAAGAAAUGAAUAGAUGCCAACCUCAAGAUGACAGAGGUGUGAGAAUUAUCUGAGGAAGAUUUUAAAGCAACCAUCAUAAAAUUCUUCACUAAGCACUUGCGAACACACUUGAAACAAAUGAAAAAAGACAAAGUCUCAGGAAAGAAAUACAAGAUAUAAAGAAGAACCAAAUGGAAAUUUUAGAACUGAAAAAUACAAUAACUAAAAUUAAAAACUCUGUGGAUGUGCUCAACGGCAGAAUGGAGGGGGACAGAAGAAAGAAUCCAUGGACUGGAAACUAGAACAUGAAAAAUUACCCAAUCUGAACAACAGAGAGAAAAUAGACUGAAAAAAACGGUGAACAGAGCCUCAGAGACCUAUGGGACUAUAACAAAAGAUCUAAUAAUGGUGUCAUUGGCAUCUAAGGGGAGAAGCACAUGUGGGAUGGGAUAUAUUGUGAUGGCCAUCCUUGGAAAAUAUAAUUGCCUAUAUCCAUGUUGAUGCACGGAGCUAUAGUUUUCUAUUUCACUUCAAUAUCCUGUUGUGUGAUUGAACCACAAUUGAUUUAGUCAUUCUAAUGUAAUGGACAUUUGGGUUGUUUCCAUUUUUUUGCUAUUAUAAAUAGUGCUCUGGAAGUAUUCUGUUCAUGUCUCCAGGAUUUAUAAAUGAUAGCAAUUUACUGAAUUCCAGGAGUGGAAUUACUGGACUACUAAGUAUAUGAAUGUUCACCUUCAACAAAUAAUGCGAAAUUGUUCUUGGAUGUGAAUAUACUAAUUUCUAGCCCCAUAGCAAUUUACAUUUCACCAGGAUUUUGUCAAUCUUUUAAUUUUUUUCGAAAUUAGUGGGCAUGAAAUGGUAAUUUGUGGUUCUAUUUGCAUUUCCCUUUUUACUAACAAGAUUGAGUAUAUUUUCAUAAAUUUAAUGGGUCAUUUGUGUUUUCUCUUCUGUGAAAUGCCUGUUCACGUUUUUGAAAUUUUUUUUAUUGUAUUAUUUGUCCCCCUAAUUGAUUUAUAGGAUCUGGCUAGUAAUCUUUUGUUUGUUUGUUUUUAUGUGUGAAAAAUUCUGUUAGGAUUUUAUUGGAAUAGUAAUAAUGCUAUAGAUGAAUUUUGGGAGAAAUACAAUUUUACAGUAUUGAAUCUUUCUAUCCAUGAACAUGGUGUUGCUCUCCAUUUGGUUUUCUUAUUGCCUUUUAAUAAGGUGCUAUAUUUUUCUACAUAAAGAUUUUGCAUAUCUUGUGGUAGAUUUCUUUUCAACUACCUUAUAUUUUUCAUUGCUAUUGUAAAUUUUUAAAUUGCAUUUCUAACUUUAUUGCUGGUGUUUAUAAAU